Molecule: ribosomal RNA, 500 nt
Filed under: uncultured bacterium
Lineage: Bacteria
Description: bacterial SSU rRNA
Rfam family: Bacterial small subunit ribosomal RNA
Source: RNAcentral
GGGGAAGGGUAGCUUGCUACCUGACCUAGCGGCGGACGGGUGAGUAAUGCUUAGGAAUCUGCCUAUUAGUGGGGGACAACAUUCCGAAAGGAAUGCUAAUACCGCAUACGCCCUACGGGGGAAAGCAGGGGAUCUUCGGACCUUGCGCUAAUAGAUGAGCCUAAGUCAGAUUAGCUAGUUGGUGGGGUAAAGGCCUACCAAGGCGACGAUCUGUAGCGGGUCUGAGAGGAUGAUCCGCCACACUGGGACUGAGACACGGCCCAGACUCCUACGGGAGGCAGCAGUGGGCAAUAUUGGACAAUGGGCGAAAGCCUGAUCCAGCCAUGCCGCGUGUGUGAAGAAGGCCUUUUGGUUGUAAAGCACUUUAAGCGAGGAGGAGGCUACUGAGAUUAAUACUCUUGGAUAGUGGACGUUACUCGCAGAAUAAGCACCGGCUAACUCUGUGCCAGCAGCCGCGGUAAUACAGAGGGUGCGAGCGUUAAUCGGAUUUACUGGGCGUA